GUGCCUAAUACAUGCAAGUCGAACGAGAAAGCGUCACUUCGGUGAUGCUGGAAGGUGGCGUCCGGGUGAGUAACACGUAGCUGACCUGCCCUCCGCAGGGGGACAACGCCCCGAAAGGGGUGCUAAUACCGCGUACGCUCAACUUUUUUAGAAAGGGUUGAGGAAAGUUACGGCGGCGGAGGAGGGGGCUGCGAUCCAUC
Molecule: ribosomal RNA, 200 nt
Filed under: uncultured Campylobacterota bacterium
Lineage: Bacteria; Pseudomonadati; Campylobacterota
Description: uncultured Epsilonproteobacteria bacterium partial 16S ribosomal RNA
Rfam family: Bacterial small subunit ribosomal RNA
Source: RNAcentral